Long non-coding RNA from Astyanax mexicanus (Mexican tetra), 3475 nucleotides. RefSeq lists it as uncharacterized. The transcript is spliced from 3 exons. The record is from RefSeq and is a predicted model, not a curated record. Lineage: Eukaryota; Metazoa; Chordata; Actinopteri; Characiformes; Acestrorhamphidae.
UUAUUUUCUAUCACUUCUACAUAGACUUGUCUAAUAAUAAAUAUAAAUAAAUCCAAUGUUCAUAGUUAGUGAUGCACUAGGAAAUCCACAGACCUGCCAAUAUGUAUGCAUUUUGCAUAACGGGCAUGCAUUCUGACCUCCUAGAAUGCUCUGUAUAGCUCUGUAUGCAACCCAGUACAGCUCUGGAAAAAAAUAAGAGACCACUUCAGUUUCUAAAUCAUUUUCCCUAAUUUUGCUAUUUAUAGGUGUAUGUUUUAGCAAAAUGAACAUUGUUUUAUUCUAUAAACUAUGGACAACAUUUCUCCAAAAUUCCAAAUGAAAAUAUUGUCAUUUAUUUGCAUAAAAUGAGAAAUAACAAAAAAGGUUCAGAGCUUUCAGACCUCAAAUAAUGCAAAGAAAACAAGUUCAUAUUCAUAAAGUUUUAAUAGUUCAGAAAUCAAUAUUUGGUGGAAUAAUACUGUUUUUUUAAUCACAGUUUUCAUGCAUCUUGGCAUGUUCUCCUCCACCAGUCUUACACACUGACUUACACAUAACUCUAUGCCACUCCUGGUGCAAAAAUUCAAGCAGCUCAGUUUGGUUUUUUGGCUUGUAAUAAUCUUCUUCUUGCUUAUAUUUUAGAGGUUUUCAAUUUGGUAAAAUCAAAGAAACUCAGCAUUUUAAGUAGUCUCUUUAUUUUUUACUUUAUUUUUUAAUCCAGAGCUGUAUAUAAUCUAUGAUAAUAUUCUUAAUUGCUGUGUUAACAAUGCGCAAUUGAAUUUUAUCGAGUAUGCUAACCACUGGGGAAAAACAGCAGUUAAAACACUGUUACUCCAUGAGUUCAUUAUAGACUACUGUUAAUAAUACUGGGUGCCCUUGGGCAGAACAUGAUGACCCAAAAAUUCCACUGCAGUCAGAGAGGCAGAGAUGAGUCAGCUGGUCUUGUCUGAUUUACCUGUUAAAUUGACUUCCUUUGCUUUUCUUUAUGUAGACACACCCAGGUUGAGUGAUGAGAAACAAGUAUAAUUCCUCCGUCGGGCAAAUACCAUAGCAUUAUUUUUCUGAACUACAGUCUGGACUAAAUAAAUGGAAGAAUAGCCAAAUUUACACAUUAUCUACCCAGUCCUGACUGAAAUAAGCCUGUUAUUUAAAGGAGGUGUAGCUAAUCUUUUGGAAUUUAUCAUGACUGUGGAAGUUUCACUCUGGCUUGUGUUGAGCCAUUAAACUGUCUCUUUACUUUUCUCACCACUGAAAAAUAUUCCACUCCCUUCUUAAAUUCUUGACAAACAUUGACUGUAUAAAAGAGACUAGCACUUUGUUCUGCUCCAGCUUGGUUAUGUUUGUUUUGGAUGCAUCAUUUAAACAUGUGGUUCAUCACCACUGUGACUGCUUCCAUACCUAAGAACAGUCUACACUGCUGACUCACCCUUCCACUCUGUCUCCUCACUUACUGGAAGGCAUGCUGUUAAUACCUGUGCAAAGCUGGGCUGCAAAUUGUAUCAUUUGUUAAGCUUUAUAACAAUAUUAACCUUGGUAGUACUUCUUCUACAAUCUGCAAACAGCUCAUCAGAGAGCAACAAUCUGUUAGAUAGACAUACACACAUGUCCAACUUCACAAUCUGUACUGUUCUACAACAUUUUCUUAUUCUUUUUCUAUUUAUAUUUCUAAUGAAUUAGGCACAAACAUCUAAUAGUAAAGACUUUUAGUAAACAUAUUCUCCUUAUGGAGACAUUUACUAUAAGGGUUUAUUUAUUCCAUUUAUGUUGUUUUAUAAUUAUAUAACAUGCUCUCCAUCAGCAUGGUUCUGGAUUUUUUCUUGAGGUGAACAUUCAGGAACAGUGUGAGUAGGGGUGAACAUUCUAGAACAGUGUAAUAAGGGUGAAAAGCCUGAAACAGUGUGAAUAGUUGUGAACAUUCUAAAACAGUGUGAGUAGAGGUGAACAUUCUGGAACAGUGUGAGCAGAGGUGAACAUUCAGGAACAGUGUGAGCAGAGGUGAACAUUCAGGAACAGUGUGAGCAGAGGUGAACAUUCAGGAACAGUGUGAGUAGGUUUGAACAUUCUAGAACAGUGUGAGUAGAGGUGAACAUUCAGGAACAGUGUGAGUAGAGGUGAACAUUCAGGAACAGUGUGAGUAGGGGUGAAGAUUCUAGAACAGUGUGAGAAGGGUUGAACAUUCUAGAACAGUGUGAGCAGAGGUGAACAUUCAGGAACAGUGUGAGCAGAGGUGAACAUUCAGGAACAGUGUGAGCAGGGGUGAAGAUUCUAGAACAGUGUGAGUAGGGGUGAACAUUCAGGAACAGUGUGAGCAGAGGUGAACAUUCAGGAACAGUGUGAGCAGAGGUGAACAUUCAGGAACAGUGUGAGUAGGUUUGAACAUUCUAGAACAGUGUGAGUAGAGGUGAACAUUCAGGAACAGUGUGAGUAGGUUUGAACAUUCUAGAACAGUGUGAGUAGAGGUGAACAUUCAGGAACAGUGUGAGUAGAGGUGAACAUUCAGGAACAGUGUGAGUAGGGGUGAACAUUCAGGAACAGUGUGAGUAGAGGUGAACAUUCAGGAACAGUGUGAGUAGGGGUGAAGAUUCUAGAACAGUGUGAGAAGGGUUGAACAUUCUAGAACAGUGUGAGCAGAGGUGAACAUUCUGGAACAGUGUGAGUAGAGGUGAACAUUCUGGAACAGUGUGAGUAGAGGUGAACAUUUUGGAACAGUGUGAGUAGAGGUGAACAUUUUGGAACAGUGUGAGCAGAGGUGAACAUUCUGGAACAGUGUGAGUAGGGGUGAAGAUUCUAAAACAGUGUGAGUAGAGGUUAACAUUCAGGAACAGUGUGAGCAGAGGUGAACAUUCUGGAACAGUGUGAGCAGGGGUGAAGAUUCUAAAACAGUGUGAGCAGAGGUGAACAUUUUGGAACAGUGUGAGCAGAGGUGAACAUUUUGGAACAGUGUGAGCAGAGGUGAACAUUUUGGAACAGUGUGAGCAGAGGUGAACAUUUUGGAACAGUGUGAGUAGAGGUGAACAUUCUGGAACAGUGUGAGUAGAGGUGAACAUUCUGGAACAGUGUGAGUAGGGGUGAACAUUUUGGAACAGUGUGAGCAGAGGUGAACAUUCUAGAACCGAUGAGUUGGGAUGAAUAUUCUAGAAUAUUGUGCGUAAGGUGCACAUUCUUAAACAAUGUAAGGAGGAUGAACAUUCUAGAACAGUGUAAAUAGGGGUAAACUUUCUAAGUGCAUUAGUGAUUGUAAAACAUUUUGGAAGAAUGUGAAAGGGGUAGAACAUUCUAGAACAGUGUGAAUUGGAGUGAACAUUCUAGGUGCAUUUGUAGAACUUUCUAGAACAGUGUAAAUAAGAAGAACUAUUCUAAACAGUGUGAAUAUUCGUUAGUUCAUUGCUGGCAUUGGAGUUGUGGGGUUUGUUGGCCUCUGUUGGGUCAUAACUGCUGUAAAUGCAGCAGUGAGUUAAGCAGUGGCAGAGAGGAAGUGUCUCACUCUUUCCGUGUGUGU